Polyodon spathula (Mississippi paddlefish) is the source of this 77-nucleotide small nucleolar RNA. RefSeq annotates it as small nucleolar RNA SNORD61. NCBI's taxonomy places the organism in Eukaryota, Metazoa, Chordata, Actinopteri, Acipenseriformes, Polyodontidae. The record is from RefSeq and is a predicted model, not a curated record. The transcript has a single exon.
GCUGUGAUGAAAAAAUGUGGCUUUGAUCAAUUGUAAAAUGAUCUUGCCUGUGUAGUCCUCUAAGAAGUUCUGAGCUU